Molecule: ribosomal RNA, 481 nt
Filed under: uncultured bacterium
Lineage: Bacteria
Description: partial 16S ribosomal RNA
Rfam family: Bacterial small subunit ribosomal RNA
Source: RNAcentral
GCCUAACACAUGCAAGUCGAACGGAACUUUUUUAAUUGAUUUCUUCGGAAUGAUUUUGAUUAAGUUUAGUGGCGGACGGGUGAGUAACGCGUGAGUAACCUGCCUCUGAGAGGGGAAUAACAUUCUGAAAAGAAUGCUAAUACCGCAUAAUAUAUAUUUAUCGCAUGGUAGAUAUAUCAAAGAUUUAUCGCUCAGAGAUGGACUGGCGUCCGAUUAGUUAGUUGGUGAGGUAACGGCUCACCAAGACCACGAUCGGUGGCCGUACUGAGAGGUUGAACGGCCACAUUGGGACUGAGACACGGCCCAGACUCCUACGGGAGGCAGCAGUGGGGGAUAUUGCGCAAUGGGGGAAACCCUGACGCAGCAACGCCGCGUGAAGGAUGAAGGUCUUCGGAUUGUAAACUUCUUUUAUUAAGGACGAAUAAAGUGACGGUACUUAAUGAAUAAGCUCCGGCUAACUACGUGCCAGCCGCCGCAGUAA